AUUGAACGCUGGCGGCAGGCCUAACACAUGCAAGUCGAGCGGUAGAGAGGUGCUUGCAUCUCUUGAGAGCGGCGGACGGGUGAGUAAUGCCUAGGAAUCUGCCUAGUGGUGGGGGAUAACGUUCGGAAACGGACGCUAAUACCGCAUACGUCCUACGGGAGAAAGCGGGGGAUCUUCGGACCUCGCGCCAUUAGAUGAGCCUAGGUCGGAUUAGCUAGUUGGUGAGGUAAUGGCUCACCAAGGCGACGAUCCGUAACUGGUCUGAGAGGAUGAUCAGUCACACUGGAACUGAGACACGGUCCAGACUCCUACGGGAGGCAGCAGUGGGGAAUAUUGGACAAUGGGCGAAAGGCCUGAUCCAGCCAUGCCGCGUGUGUGAAGAAGGUCUUCGGAUUGUAAAGCACUUUAAGUUGGGAGGAAGGGUAGUAACCUAAUACGUU
Molecule: ribosomal RNA, 440 nt
Filed under: uncultured bacterium
Lineage: Bacteria
Description: bacterial SSU rRNA
Rfam family: Bacterial small subunit ribosomal RNA
Source: RNAcentral